GUCUGAGUGGCUCAGUCGGUUGAGCAUCUGACUUCGGCUCAGGUAGUGAUCUCACAGUUCAUGGGUUUGAGCCCCACAUUGGGCU
Molecule: transfer RNA, 85 nt
Filed under: Felis catus (domestic cat)
Lineage: Eukaryota; Metazoa; Chordata; Mammalia; Carnivora; Felidae
Also listed under: 3 other names
Rfam family: tRNA
About the family: Transfer RNA (tRNA) molecules are approximately 80 nucleotides in length. Their secondary structure includes four short double-helical elements and three loops (D, anti-codon, and T loops). Further hydrogen bonds mediate the characteristic L-shaped molecular structure. tRNAs have two regions of fundamental functional importance: the anti-codon, which is responsible for specific mRNA codon recognition, and the 3' end, to which the tRNAs corresponding amino acid is attached (by aminoacyl-tRNA synthetases). tRNAs cope with the degeneracy of the genetic code in two manners: having more than one tRNA (with a specific anti-codon) for a particular amino acid; and 'wobble' base-pairing, i.e. permitting non-standard base-pairing at the 3rd anti-codon position.
Source: Rfam by way of RNAcentral